CUUCCAUCCAGGAUAGUCCUGGAAAUGAUCUUGAUGCUAUCUGUUCCUCGUUACAGCAGACCUGCUCAACUUCAGCAGCUAGAAGGAGGAUUGUCUUUCACCAGCUGCAGGAGCCUGUUCCCACUACAAGCCUGGUGGAGUCUUCGGAGCAGAUGUGACUGUCCUACUUGUAUAGAGAAGAGAAACUGAGGCUCAGAAGAGAUGCCUGGCUGAGUUUAAUAGGACUGCAACAACAAUUUUGCCUUUCUACUUUCUGACCGUUUGCAAAGAAAUUUCCUAAACAUCACCACUGAGGCUCCUUCCAGCAAUGACUCUGGUCCAUCAUUGGGAUUGCUGAGCAGCUGUUUCAUAACAUGAACAAGGAUGUUUUAACCAUGUUUCUUGACCUGGCCAUUUGGAUCCCAAGGAUGUUUUGGUCCAAGAAUAAAUUCCAGAGCUUAGGUAGGUUACAUACCACAACUAUAUUCAUUUCCUACUUCUAUUCUUUCUCUGUGCAAUCCUUUUCCUAGCACUGUAACUGAAAGUAUUUUUCUAAAACAUUAAUGUGAUCAUACUAUGUCUCUGCUGAAAAGCCAUCAAUCACUAUCUACCUAUUACUGACAAAAACAUGACAUUCUGAUCCCACCUGAUCUGCUCUUUCUCAUCAACAACUCUUCUCCUUAUGUAAUUUCUCACCUGGUGACCAACCACACCCUGCAUGUGCUAUACAUUCAUUUAUGCUUUUUCACCUGCUCAAGGCCCCCAGAAUUAUUUUCAAGUAUUAUUUUUCCCAACACAAAGCAUCAGUCGAUACCUGUAGUAAGUCUGAAGCAUCUCAGAAGCAUUUAUUGACAACCCAGUCUUCUACUCUCCUCUGCCUCCAAACACACAGCACAUACAUUUUGUCCCAAACAUUUGUAGGCCAUCAUUGUCUUUUGCCUGGCAUUUCUUUACUAAUUAAUAUAUAUUUUUAUUCAUGUGUGUAUAUUUAUCUCACCAAUAUUUGGGAGCAGAGCCUAUGUGUUAUUUUAGUUAUACAGGUUGUUGGGUGAUAUGGCUGUGAACCUGAUAUGCUAUAGAUUAUAAGGGGAGGUGGAACCUGUCACACUUCCUCUUCCUCCAUCACUGGUUGUCUGUCUCAAAGCUCACCGAAGAAGACAGGAAAACUUGUCAGAUGGGGAAGGAUGUGUCAAGAGCAUGCACACAGAUUUACUCUUCAGCUAGAAGCUCCAAUUCCUAGAUGAUCUGAAUCCAACUCAGAGUGCUUGCACCUGUUUCCUGCCACACAGCUAGAGCUGUGUCCCUCUAGGUUCUCUGAUUGGCUGAAGCUACUCUAAGCCAAGAGAUCAAAGAAGCUGAUAAUGUAGAAUGUAAGUUUGUCUCCUGGGCCACAAUGGAAAGCAGAGACUGUAGCUGGAGGAGUGAAUAGAGGAUAUGCAGCUCUGGUAAUUCUCAGUACAAUUCCCAGUGGUCCACUCUGCAGAAUGAACCAAGUUCCAUUUUGCCCAACUUCUGGCAGUCCACAUUUGGACUGUGAGCUCACCUACAGAUAAAUCGUACGUGGAUUGAUGCAGUAACUGGAUUUGUAGCUGCUAAAUCUUAUUUAAGUGAGGACCUGUCCAGUACAUGUGAAGACCACCCAUCCACUGAAAGUGAUAAGUGAAGCUGAAUCAAUACUAGACUGAAUCAAUACUGAGCUGAAUCAAUACUUUCCCAAUUUUGAGGAAAUCUUGGAAAAUCUCUGAGAAAUGUGGUAGUAAUUAUUUUGAAGAAUUGGAAAACUUUAUAGCUGAUUAUGCUAUGUGUGGAAGAUACAACAGGAUUAUAAGAGAGAGAAGACAAUAUCCUUGCUGUGUCCAGAAGGCUUUAGCCGGGGUGUCCUACUGAGAGAUGACAAACUUAAGGUUUUUCUCUUCCCAGACAUUACUGGACAACUAGCUAUGUAAUUAGGUCUUAUGCCGAAAAGACUGAAAGGAAAACAUCUCAGAUCUAGGAAUGUGAUCAAGAAAGAAGGCUGGUUAAAGAAUAACAUGGGGAAAAUGAAUGCAGUGAAAUGGUUCACGCACAAGUUCUAGGAAUUCAGAGUGCAACAGCAGAAAUGCGAUUUUUGUUAGAUAUUUCAGAAAGUGAUGUGAGUCCCUGAGGUCAUACUGCAGCGUUCAGGUUCUGUUUGGCCUCCUGCACGAAGCUUUCCUUGAUUGGAAAAGCUGCAUACUCUGAAGCACAUCGCAUGUGUCCUGUCUGUAGUUCAUUUCAUUUCCCCAGAUUUGUUAUCAUCCACCAUCACUCAUACAAGCCUACCUUCUUCAUGCCAACCUUUGUAAUCUUUCUACCUUGCUAACCUGGUCAUGUCAAGGACCAGCUAAUAAAUAGCAAAGUUGUACCUUGAGCCAAGGUAUCUUGACUCUUAGUCCAGUGCUCUUUAUAUACCUCUGAAGUCUUAUUUGAGCUUCAAAAUUAUGAGUCUGUGCUCUCAAGAUUUUUUUGAAAAUGUACUUAAUGUUGCCCCUAAGCUUUUAUGAGAAAUAAUAAAGUUCUUUCCAGAUUGAAUAUCUAAUAACUCCAUUUCAUUUUAUGCUUUCUCAUGUAUGGAUGUCUAUAACUGGAAUGCUAUUUGGGCUACUGAGAUAUUUUCUUAAUUCUCUGUUUUGUGUUAGUUCUUUUUGUUUGUUUAUUUGACAACCAUAUUUUUGCACCUGAGAUAAAUCU
This 2688-nucleotide long non-coding RNA is filed under the name Homo sapiens (human). RNAcentral's name for it is "HSALNT0300637". The record is from RNAcentral. Lineage: Eukaryota; Metazoa; Chordata; Mammalia; Primates; Hominidae.